Molecule: ribosomal RNA, 407 nt
Filed under: uncultured bacterium
Lineage: Bacteria
Description: partial 16S ribosomal RNA
Rfam family: Bacterial small subunit ribosomal RNA
Source: RNAcentral
AUUGAACGCUAGCGGGAUGCCUUACACAUGCAAGUCGAACGGAGUGGCGAACGGGUGAGUAAUGUUUCGGAACGUGCCCAGUAGCGGGGGAUAACGACGCGAAAGCGUAGCUAAUACCGCAUACUAUUGGAGCGGCCGAUAUCGGAUUAGCUAGUUGGUGGGGUAACGGCUCACCAAGGCGACGAUCCGUAGCUGGUUUGAGAGGAUGACCAGCCACACUGGAACUGAGACACGGCACAGACUCCUACGGGAGGCAGCAGUGGGGAAUUUUGGACAAUGGGGGCAAGCCUGAUGCAGCCAUGCGGCGUGUGUGAAGAAGGUCUUCGGGUUGUAAAGCACUGUUAGCGGGGAGGCGGUACCUGCAGAAUAAGCACCGGCUAACUACGUGCCAGCAGCCGCGGUAAUAC